Molecule: transfer RNA, 84 nt
Filed under: Bacteroidales bacterium
Lineage: Bacteria; Pseudomonadati; Bacteroidota; Bacteroidia; Bacteroidales
Also listed under: 1 other name
Description: tRNA-Leu
Rfam family: tRNA
About the family: Transfer RNA (tRNA) molecules are approximately 80 nucleotides in length. Their secondary structure includes four short double-helical elements and three loops (D, anti-codon, and T loops). Further hydrogen bonds mediate the characteristic L-shaped molecular structure. tRNAs have two regions of fundamental functional importance: the anti-codon, which is responsible for specific mRNA codon recognition, and the 3' end, to which the tRNAs corresponding amino acid is attached (by aminoacyl-tRNA synthetases). tRNAs cope with the degeneracy of the genetic code in two manners: having more than one tRNA (with a specific anti-codon) for a particular amino acid; and 'wobble' base-pairing, i.e. permitting non-standard base-pairing at the 3rd anti-codon position.
Source: RNAcentral
GCCCGGAUGGCGGAAUUGGUAGACGCGCUGGACUUAAAAUCCAGUGACCUUUGGGUUGUGCGGGUUCAAGUCCCGCUCCGGGUA